UGAGGAAUAUUGGGCAAUGGGGGAAACCCUGACCCAGCGACGCCGCGUGAGGGAAGAAGGCCUUAGGGUCGUAAACCUCUGUUGUGUGGGAAGAAGAGCGUGACGGUACCACACGAGGAAGUCCCGGCUAACUACGUGCCAGCAGCCGCGGUAAUACGUAGGGGACGAGCGUUGUCCGGCUUUACUGGGCGUAAAGGGGGCGUGGGCGGUCAUUUAAGUCAGCUGUGAAAGGGUUUGGCUUAACCGGAUCAUGCGGUUGAAACUGGAUGACUGGAGUGCUGGAGAGGCAAGUGGAAUUCCCAGUGUAGCGGUGAAAUGCGUAGAUAUUGGGAAGAACACCGGGGGCGAAGGCGACUUGCUGGCCAGCAACUGACGCUGAGGCGCGAAAGCCAGGGGAGCAAACG
This 404-nucleotide ribosomal RNA is filed under the name uncultured prokaryote. RNAcentral describes it as "bacterial SSU rRNA". It matches the Rfam family "Bacterial small subunit ribosomal RNA", at positions 355 to 774 of the family's 1533-position model. The record is from RNAcentral.